Molecule: ribosomal RNA, 253 nt
Filed under: uncultured bacterium
Lineage: Bacteria
Description: partial 16S ribosomal RNA
Rfam family: Bacterial small subunit ribosomal RNA
Source: RNAcentral
UACAGAGGGUGCAAGCGUUAAUCGGAAUUACUGGGCGUAAAGCGUGCGUAGACGGUUACAUAAGUCGGGUGUGAAAGCCCCGGGCUCAACCUGGGAACUGCAUUUGAGACUGCUCUGCUCGGGUGCGGAAGAGGGAAGCGGAAUUUCCGGUGUAGCGGUGAAAUGCGUAGAUAUCGGAAGGAACACCAGUGGCGAAAGCGGCUUCCUGGUCCGACACCGACGUUCAGGCACGAAAGCGUGGGGAGCAAACAGG